Molecule: long non-coding RNA, 534 nt
Organism: Labeo rohita (rohu)
Lineage: Eukaryota; Metazoa; Chordata; Actinopteri; Cypriniformes; Cyprinidae
Exons: 4
Source: RefSeq, a predicted model, not a curated record
CUUGCAGACAAAAUUCUUCAAAAUUUUUCUUCCUCUUAUUCCUUUACUUCCUCACUCACUUACACAUUCUUUUGUGCUCUGUUGUAAGGUAGAAACUGAGUUCACAUGACGGCCUUUUCUCAGACUCUGAAUCUGAUGUGUACAGAUGAACUCAGGAGUCUGCUGGAGUUGCCAGGGAGCUUGAGCUUGAACUGGAGACCAAAAACGCAAAGAAAAUCAGUCACAGCAAGCCAGUCAAACCAGUCCUGAUGAAUGAGGAAUGAACGUGGUCUUCUUGUACCCAAAUAGAAAAGUCAGAUUUCCACUGCUCCUAGAAUUAGCAAAUCAACUGUGCCAUCGUCUCUGGAAUUUGGGCAGGAAAUGACCGAAUAUGGAGGAUGAAGCCAGUUGAUGAAGAGAUUAAUUCAUUGGCCAUCAGGUAUCUGCUGUGAAGACUGCAUUGGCGGACGGCUCUACUGUGACAGCUCAGAUGUUACAGCGCAUAAAAGUAAACUUCACAACUGAACAACAAGAGUUGUGGAGGGAUUUUUUUGG